AAGAGAGAAUUCAGGCAGGUUAUUGCAUUUUUUGAUCAAAUGUUUCUCUUUAUGCAUUUCAUUUUCAACUCUACAAAUGCAAACAUUAAAAUGGUUAAAUCAUUUUAUUAGGCAUAUGUAGUCACAGAAUGACAGCAUGCUUUUCCCUCACCAUUUAAACUUAAAAAGCAGUAUAUUGUGACACAGCCUUAAGCUCGUAUAAUAGAUGAAACAUGAAGAAAACACCACCGAUCAUUUUUCUGUAUUUACUUACCAUUGAAUACUUCAUUGAAUUCUCCAGGGGGUGCAUGAGUGAUGAAUUUUGCAGCUAUACGCACCUACAAUGAAGCAGAAAAGUAAUUAAACUAAAGACAAAAGAUAAUUUACUGAGUUCAUACAUAUUGCAACCUACACUGAAGCAAUUCACCACCAAAACCAAUGCUGACAGUGAUAGGAAGUGCUGGAUCUAGGGAGAAAUCUAAGCACGCAUUUUCAAAAUAAAAAUAGUCUCAUAAGACCAGAUUCUUUUCAGUGUAACCAAGCAGCAUAAUUCCAAAUGUACUCAGGAAGAUGUGCAAACUUCACAUGGGCGCCUGUAAAAAUGUGAACUGUUCAACUUGCACACUACUAACCUAUUUAAAGAAUAUGAAUGCUGGCUAGCCGCUCUUUUUGGUGACAUUCCUAAACAAUGUUUUUUCCUGAUCCUUGCUAGUAAUCAGAAACCUAAAUGCCAAGGUAUAUAAAGAAUAAGAAACCACUGUGGUAAAAGUGACACUGGAACUAGAUGGUAACCUGCAGUGCAACCACGUAGCUAACGAGUGUCUGACAUAUAUUGCAGGACACUGUGAUUCCCUGUGACGCAACUUGUUUGAUGCUGAUGACUGCUGAAGGAGAUGCCAUUGCUUCACAGCAAACAGUGUGUGAAGGAUGAGAGGUUGAUACCUCUAGAAAUGGAGCAGUAAACCAAUUACAUCAACUCCCAUGGGACUGCUUCCAGAGUUAAUUGUGCCUCAUGGACUUUGAAAAGCCACUGAUGUGCUUGGAGUGCAGAAGGUGGUCUGGAGAGAGAAAGUAAAAGCUGGGAACUGACAGAAAUGGGGGAGGUGAUGGGAACUGCCAAAAUGAACCAGAGACAUCAGAUGCAGCCUCCAAAUGAAGCCAUCCAAAUUUCAGCAGGUGUUGGGUUUUCUUUUUUUUUUCUUCUUUCUUGAUCCUCUAAUGCUGCCCAUGUCACUUCUAACCCUGGGCAGUAGACCCACCACCUGUGCCAUUCUGUGGCAUGUUACUCCUCUCAUCUUGAAGUAGUAUUUCAUUGGAAACUACUGUAGUCCCGCCAUGAACUGUCAGAGUGGUGGAAGAAUUCAGGCAUGUGGAACUGAGAGUGAUACAAUAAAUAACUGAAAAGGCCAACUGUAAGGAAAAUACCUCAAUGUCUGCAAACUUCGAAGCUGGAAAACAAAACCCCAUUCUCUUCUAAAAAGACCAAAGGGAAUAGAAUUAUCUUGGAAGACUUGAAACAGGAAAUGUCACAAAAUCAAACAUCUCCCUUAGAAUAAUAAAAAUGUCACAUUUCUUCCAAUAAGUACAGCUAACAAAGCUGUGCAAUAAGCCUUUCUUGCUCAACUAGACGUUUAUUGAAGAUGACUGCAGAACAGUGCUCAUUACAACUCUGAUUAGUUUUUCUGCUUCUCAUUUUGAGCGGUAAAACACAGGAGUGUGUAUAUAGCCAACUGCUUCAGCUGAAUUACUGCCAGAGCGGGAAAUAACUUGCUUCUCUCAACAGUCUUCCCCGUUUUAAUUAGAAAUUGUUGUUUGUAUUUUGUCACAUAAUGAUUUAAAGCAAAUCAUGAAAGGAAAUAAACACCUUUCCAAACAAA
Long non-coding RNA from Harpia harpyja (harpy eagle), 1856 nucleotides. RefSeq lists it as uncharacterized. The record is from RefSeq and is a predicted model, not a curated record. NCBI's taxonomy places the organism in Eukaryota, Metazoa, Chordata, Aves, Accipitriformes, Accipitridae. The transcript has 2 exons.